Triticum dicoccoides is the source of this 420-nucleotide long non-coding RNA. RefSeq lists it as uncharacterized. NCBI's taxonomy places the organism in Eukaryota, Viridiplantae, Streptophyta, Magnoliopsida, Poales, Poaceae. The record is from RefSeq and is a predicted model, not a curated record. The transcript has 3 exons.
CCUUCUAUGCUGGGAGGAGGCAGCGUUUGUCCAUAGCACCCCAUGUACCACAUCAUCAUUCCUUUCUUACUUAGUGUCAUACAAGUGAUGCAAUCAUGAUUUGCUAGCCUUUUAACAUAUCCCUGAUGGAGUGGAGUGGAGGGGACAGCCGGAUUGGAAAUACAAUAAGGAUGGUGCAUGGAGAACAUGCUCUGUUGCCAUCUUCAUCCGCGAGUUGGCUCCCAAAUCUAAAAGGCGCGUCUGACGAAACAGGAGUGUAACAGGGCACGGCUGCUGAACCAGGACAACCACAUAUGAGUUUUUGAUUUCUUAUUUGUUCGUCAGACCUGGUCACAAAUAAUGAGUUUGAGACAAACCUUGUGUCAUGUGUUAUCGCACUCAGAUAUUGGAGCCUUGGAGAAUGUAAAAGAAAUGUUAAAC